This 341-nucleotide long non-coding RNA is filed under the name Nicotiana benthamiana. RNAcentral's name for it is "long non-coding RNA (NBEN_LNC006763)". Lineage: Eukaryota; Viridiplantae; Streptophyta; Magnoliopsida; Solanales; Solanaceae. The record is from RNAcentral.
GGUAAUAUUGACAAGAAUGACAUUACUCUGAGAAGCUAAAGAAGUGAAGAGGCAAAGAGCAAUACCAAUUUUGAAGAACUGAAGACAAGAUUUAAAGCUUGUAAAUGCCGAUUAUAACACUUUCUCCCAUUCUUCACUGUCAAAAAAAAUUUUAAACAUUCAAAUGAUCAAUACUAUUUCAACCCAACUUCAGUACUUCACAAAUCAAAUAAAAAAGAUAAAGAAACAAAAGAAACGGUAAGAUUGAUAACGAAAUUGGAAAAAAUAUGUGACCUUAAUUUGCAAAAAAAUUGGUAUUUUGCUGUUGCAGAAGACUUGGGGCUAGAGAGUGUUUUCUGGAG